Molecule: ribosomal RNA, 472 nt
Filed under: uncultured bacterium
Lineage: Bacteria
Description: bacterial SSU rRNA
Rfam family: Bacterial small subunit ribosomal RNA
Source: RNAcentral
AUUGAACGCUGGCGGCAGGCCUAACACAUGCAAGUCGAACGGUAACAGGAAGAAGCUUGCUUCUUUGCUGACGAGUGGCGGACGGGUGAGUAAUGUCUGGGAAACUGCCUGAUGGAGGGGGAUAACUACUGGAAACGGUAGCUAAUACCGCAUAACGUCGCAAGACCAAAGAGGGGGGACCUUCGGGCCUCUUGCCAUCGGAUGUGCCCAGAUGGGAUUAGCUAGUAGGUGGGGUAACGGCUCACCUAGGCAACGAUCCCUAGCUGGUCUGAGAGGAUGACCAGCCACACUGGAACUGAGACACGGUCCAGACUCCUACGGGAGGCAGCAGUGGGGAAUAUUGCACAAUGGGCGCAAGCCUGAUGCAGCCAUGCCGCGUGUAUGAAGAAGGCCUUCGGUUGUAAAGUACUUUCUAGCGGGAGGAAGGGAGUAAAGUUAAUACCUUUGCUCAUUGACGUUACCCGCAGAAGAA